Long non-coding RNA from Photinus pyralis (common eastern firefly), 5287 nucleotides. RefSeq lists it as uncharacterized. NCBI's taxonomy places the organism in Eukaryota, Metazoa, Arthropoda, Insecta, Coleoptera, Lampyridae. The record is from RefSeq and is a predicted model, not a curated record. The transcript has 6 exons.
UUUUAUUAAAGAACUAACUUACGAGGAAUCUGAGGAGUUCCAUAACUUCGGCCGAAUGUCUAAAACAGAUCUCGAAUUUUUGUUAAAUAAAAUUAGAGCUCUAAUUAAAAAGCACGAUACUCAAAGGAGAAUCGCUGUACCAUCAAAAAAGAGAUUAGCAAUAAUGUUACGUUAUUUGGCAGCAGGAGUUAGUUAUCGUAGUCCUCACUUUCUUUUUAAAGUUUCGCAUCAAGUCAUCUCAUUAAUAGGGCCUGAACUUUGCAAAGCUAUUAACUCUUUACUCUCAAGGAUCAAAUUAAGUUUGGUGGACAGUGGCUGAAAAUUGUUGAAUGGUAUUGGCUGGAGAUGGUCGAAUGUCUUAGGCUGGAGAUUCUGGAAUAAUAUAGCUUGGAGAAAACAGUAGCUACCUAGGUUAUCCUUCGACUGUACACAUUUUCGAAGAUUGACUUCCGACCCGGACCCGGUCAAAUAAAAUUGAGGUACCCGUCUCGAACGCACUGUAUAUGGACGAGUAUUUGGGCGCUCUCCGGAUUUAUUUAUUUCUUCUAGGAGUGAGAAAUGGAAGGUAAAAAUAAUGUUUUAAUUUUCAGAGCCGUUUUGAUCGCUGAUAAGGAAAGCCAGCUGCAGAAUAUAAGUGUGAAGUUUCUAAUUGUUCCCGUAGAGAUAUGUAUGUAAAUUUUUUUGAUAGCAUCCGACAGCCCUCGGCAUGAGGAAGUAGGGGAACAAUUAAUAUUGUAGGAUUUCAGCCCCGUUAAUUACGUAUUGGCCGAUUUCAGUUUCUGUAUAUUAAUUUAAAACUGGGGAAGAAACCAGCAAGGUAGCUCGUUUGAACGUAGAGACACCUGAUAAAGUAUCCUGUUACUUGAUCCUCAAAUUCCAGGACGCGAUCGGUGUUAAUUGAAUUAUCGAAUUUCAGAAUUUCAACCGGGCCAAUUAAGUGAGUGUUGAAAUUCAGUUAAAUUCAAAUUAAAGUUAAGUGGGAGAAGUAACUCAUUCACUUUCCUUACUAUCUUUUCCAAGAGUGCGCACUUUGGUUUCGAUGAUGCGCGUACGCGAGUGAUUGUUAUAACGUCGACCAAAAAAUAAUAACGUGCGACUCUACUAACGCAAGUGCAUAGAAACCAAGAUUAAAGGUGUCUACCACAGGGAGCUCCCGAAGAAAAGGAAGUCGAACAACACAGUAAGUGACAAUUCCUUGUUUCCUUUACAUCUUUUGAACAUUGAGUAUAAAUAACAGUAACUAAUUAAAUGGGUUGCAGUAAACGUUAUCAGAGUGGGUUAUGGUUGGUAUCGUUGGAAGCGCGCUCAUUUAUCCAGACGUUCGGACUUUGUCCCCGAUUUUUAGCACAGCAAUCAUCAAAGUCUCUCUUUAACAGUAAGAAUAGAUGAUCACUUUAACGGCAAGGGUAGAAAAGUGAAACAAAUGGUUGUGCAUUCUAGUGGCAUCUGUCAUUCUUAUUAAAAAUGGAACGCGGAGCACGAAAUAAAAUGGCGUUCAGAACAUAAAACAACAUUGUUUCUAUGGAAACAACUGAAGAACCUAAGCUUGCUACUUUGACUGCUAAAUUAAAUUCGGAACCUUUAGAAGUUUUAUUAUGGCUUCUGAAAUAAUGUAAAGUUAUGUAUAAUACACGGGAUGUUUCCCUUAAUCGUCUUGUAUACUAAAUAACUAUUAUUAUAACAAAAAUGUAUUCAUUACGCUCACAGCGAUUUCGAAGUGAUGCUUUUUUCAUUUUCUGCAUAAUUUAUUAGGAGAACUCCGUUUGAAAUUGUUUAUGUCAGAUGCAAACAUUACAAAGAUCGCAUUAUUUUUAUUAGCUUAUAGGUAUCAUAUUAUAUACGAGGAACCAAAAUAUAAGAUUAAAAGUCGUAAUCUGCGUCCAUUGUAUCCACACGUCACGACCUCACAACAGAACGCUCAGACAUCAUUCAAUAUUUCACUCCUCGAUGAUCGAUGACAGCCUCUCUACAAUACGUUCAUGCUCCAAUAAAUCUUAAAAUAAUUAACCGCAGCAAAAUUAAUUAGAGGACUUUCCUUUACGAGACUAGGAAAAGUCAUUAGCCCUAGUUAGUGCCCUACUAAAUUUCAUUCACUGUUUAUCUACGAUCAAGUGCUUAAUUACAAAGCAAUUCCAACUCUUUUAAUGUAGAUAAAUGUUUCGGAAUUCCGGUUAAUUUAUCAAUUGAAGUUAGAUUAAGGUUCGACCAUCCAAUACUUACAAAGCAUUUCGCGUGAUAUUUCAACGAACUUUACACGCUCAUUUCCCUUAAAUACAUAAUGGUUUAAAUUAGAUUUUCCAUUCCUUUUUUCUCCUUAUUGCCGUUUGACACGAAAGAUCCCUUAAUCUAAGUAGUAGCAAUCAUUAGAUAUUCAGGGUAGAAAUGACUUCACUCUUAACAGAAUAAAAGAAAUAAAUAGAUCCAACUCUAAAGUAAGAGGUUAAUUGCCAAUAAAAAUACUUUUAUGCUAUGCUGUGCUGCUAUCAUACCAAGAUGUUUAACAACAUUCUUAAGAUGGGUUUAUACAAUCAAAACACCGAUCGUACAGAAUGGGAUGACCGCCGUACGGAAUGGAAUGGCGGCCGUACGGAAUGGACUGGGAACAGAAUCACCGGUUAAGGAUGUGCGCGUCAAAGUGGCGCAUGCGCACUCUUCAAGGACAGUUCAAUGACGAUAAAUACAACAUUUUGUCUGUAUUAUACCGUUAUUUUCUCUGGUCUAAGAAAGUAGGUAGCUAUCGAUCGAAGUUCAUUCCCUCCUGUUCAAAAUCCAAAGGUUGCCGACUGGUCCAAGAGUUCAAAGUCCAUUUCUAGCUGUCCAAAGUUCAAAGGUUGUCGAUCAAAUUCCAUAUCCAGCUGCUCGCCGACCAAACGUCGCUCACUGUUCUGUUUCGUAACGGCGCCGUAUGGAGCAAUUUAAAAAUUGUUAAAGAUUAGUGAUGUGUACAUGUUUAGUUCGGGUGUAGUCGGUAAAACGACGAAUAUAACAUUUUCUUCAUAGUGGUAAUUGAUUUAGGCAGUGGCGCCGAUCGAAAAAACAUGUAAUGGUGACGUAAUACUGAGCCAGUGAACUAGUAAUGGAUAAAUAUAUAAAGCAGGAGGCAAUAAACUCAUUUGCGGAAAGAUCGAUGAUAGUGCAAUGCAUGGUAUGUAAGUCAUAGGGCAAUGGACGUAAAUUAAAUAGCGUUAUCACAACUCACCUGCUUCUACUGUUGAAGAUGAAGUACCUAAGUACAGACAGGGAAAUCCUUUCAAUGAAAAAAUAAUGUUUUUUGACCCAACCCGAAAGUGUAGAACCAAACGAGAAUCCGCUAGAACGAAGUGAAGGAGAAGAACAAGAAAUAAAUAAUACGUAACGAGAAGUAAUACUUUAUACAUCCAAUACAUUCCGUUGCUGACGGCCUCUGCAAACCAACAAACUAACGAAAGCAAUCACUUUGGAAAUUUUAUUGCUUCUAAGCUGAGAAGUACCGAUGAAACAGUUCGAUUACUACAAUUCUUACUAUUCCUUUCCAACUCAACCCUACGCAGCACGAUAGAGUUCUUCAAGCAGGUCCUACUACCGGUCCUCUCAAUUGCAAAUCAUUAAAGUGCUUAUACAAACAGCCUUUUCAGAGUGUGGAUACUAAUAACUGUGGAGAACCUUCUCAAAUUGUGACUACAAAGAACUGGACUGGACUACAAAACUGGAGCCGGUAUGAGACCCAUAAUUGCUGCUGCGUUUCUGUUUUGGAUACCAACGAUCAAUUUUCGAAUAUUUGUGUACUUAAUAAUGAUCUGUAAUCAUAAAAACGAAUACCCUUCACAUCAGCAGCAGUAACGUGUUAAAUUGAUUGUACAUGAAAAACAUUGCUAGCAGAUUAGAUAAGCAUGAGAAUUUAAAAAGAACACUUGAUGACCCGGAUCAAAACAUGAACUUACAAAUUAAGUGACCCUCGGAGACUAUAACUGAAUUUCAAUCCAUCAUUUUGGAUUAUGAAAAAAGAAAAGCCACAGAUUUUAACGACAAUUGGAGGAAGGGAAGUAAAACACACCAUACAGAUGCGAAAUGCUCCUGGCGAGGCCAACGUGGAAAUUUUCGUGUUUGCUUGACUUAGCUUCAAUAACCCUUAAAAGUAAUUGAUAGUUUUACUAUUAUUUAGCAGUAUUUAUAGAUUUGAGCAUAUUACGCCACACUAUAAUAGCCUUGAUUAUCUCAAAAUAGAAAGUAGUUUUACACUUACCUUUGCUACUUUGUUAUACAAUUUGAUUCAUACCUUCGUUCCAGAUUAUCUUUUUAAAUUGUUAGUAAAACGAGCUGAUAUGCAUAAUGUUGCUCUUCGAAAUAUCAAUACCCAGUACACUACACCUAAACAUACUACAACAAAAUACAAAAGUUACUUUGAAUACACAGCCCCGUGCAUGUUAAAUAAAUAUCAUGUACUAUUUCAACUGUCAUCUGUUCAUCAAUUUAAGGAAAAAUUUAGAAAUCAUUUGUUAAAUUCACAGAAAUUAGCAAAUUAAAUGUGUAGCAAAGUACCCUUUUUGUAGUUUCCAAUUAAGAAUUAUUACGUAAAAUAAUAACACUUACCUAUUUAUAAUAAUCAAAAAUACCAAUCCUUGUCCAUUUUUUAUUAUUUUUAUUAUUAUUUCGAUCAAUCUAUGUCUAUUUGUGUUUACAUUUUUAUAAUUUUAAUUUAAAUUGUAGGUAUAUAGAAUAUAAUAAUUCUUGCUUCAUUAUUGAUUUUUGUUGUUUAUAUACAUAUAUUUUAUUGUUUCUAUAUUUAAUCUAGUUUUGCAUGUUUAUAAGACCAUUAAUGUUGUUAUAUAGAUAUAUUUUAUUAUUACUAUACUUAAUUUUUUGCAUGUUUAUAAAUGUUUAUAAGAUGUUAUAGUUGAAAGUAUGUCCAGGAAAUAUGGCAAGUUUUUAGGCAGGAUUGAAAACCGGCUUUGCCGAAUCUUGUCCUUUUGAUUACUUAAUAAUCAAUAAAUGUUAUUAUUAUUAUUCUUCUUCAGCUUUAGAUCGUACGUCAUAUUACAGAAGUUACUCAAAAUACAUACAACAUCACUGAAAGAAAAUUCAAAGUGACUUCCAGCGAAUGGUUUCAUACUGCAAAAUUACACUAUGACCACGUCGUCUUCUUUCAUUUCGUACUAUUUCGUAAAGGUUUCCGAGUUCUUUGUUUUGGUAAUUCUCUUUUACGAGUAUAUCUUUCAGUUUGUCCUCCAUGUAUUUCCUCUUUUUUGUUCUUAAUAACUUUUUCAACUUAUUUCUUUCUCUUUGGUAUGUUUGUUGCUUCUGUUGUUUC